UCAAAAUUCGUUCUCUUUCUCAUUCAUUCUACCUUUUUACAAACGUAUCAGAGCAGAAUUUUUUUUUUCUUUUAUCACAAUCACAAGUGGUGUGGUAUAUAUGAUAUACGUACAAAUGAACAUCUUUGAACAAAGAAUCCCGAUUCACAAUUCAUAUCAUUGCUCAUACUGAAACUUAUAAAUUAUUCUAUUCAAGAAAUCGAAUUCCACGCUCAAGACUUUUAAUACUUUUUUAUCUUUUUUAAUUGACAUAGACCCCAGUCAUCUAGUAAAAUGAGGAUGAUGCGCCGGUAAUGGUCGGGAUAGCUCAGCUGGUAGAGCAGAGGACUGAAAAUCCUCGUGUC
This 344-nucleotide transfer RNA is filed under the name Acer triflorum. RNAcentral describes it as "partial transfer RNA-Leu". The stretch from base 297 to 344 matches the Rfam family "tRNA", at positions 1 to 46 of the family's 71-position model. Lineage: Eukaryota; Viridiplantae; Streptophyta; Magnoliopsida; Sapindales; Sapindaceae. The record is from RNAcentral.